GACGAACGCUGGCGGCGUGCCUAAUACAUGCAAGUCGAACGAGAGCGACCGGUGCUUGCACUGGUCAAUCUAGUGGCGAACGGGUGAGUAACACGUGGGUAACCUGCCCAUCAGAGGGGGAUAACAUCCGGAAACGGAUGCUAAAACCGCAUAGGUCUUCGAACCGCAUGGUUUGAAGAGGAAAAGAGGCGCAAGCUUCUGCUGAUGGAUGGACCCGCGGUGCAUUAGCUAGUUGGUGAGGUAACGGCUCACCAAGGCCGUGAUGCAUAGCCGACCUGAGAGGGUGAUCGGCCACAUUGGGACUGAGACACGGCCCAAACUCCUACGGGAGGCAGCAGUAGGGAAUCUUCCGCAAUGGACGCAAGUCUGACGGAGCAACGCCGCGUGAGUGAAGAAGGUUUUCGGAUCGUAAAACUCUGUUGUUAGAGAAGAACAAGUGCUAGAGUAACUGUUAGCGCCUUGACGGUAUCCAACCAGAAAGCCACGGCUAACUACAUG
Molecule: ribosomal RNA, 498 nt
Filed under: uncultured bacterium
Lineage: Bacteria
Description: partial 16S ribosomal RNA
Rfam family: Bacterial small subunit ribosomal RNA
Source: RNAcentral